GACGAACGCUGGCGGCGUGCUUAACACAUGCAAGUCGAACGGAGUUACGUAUGAAGUAUUUCGGUACGGACUACAUAACUAGUGGCGAACGGGUGAGUAACACGUGGGCAACCUGCCCUUAACCGGGGGAUAACAUUGUGAAAACAGUGCUAAUACCGCAUAACAGAGUAUCGGGCAUCCGAUAUUUUUAAAAGGAGCAAUCCGGUUUAGGAUGGGCCCGCGUCCAAUUAGCUAGUUGGUGAGGUAACGGCUCACCAAGGCGACGAUGGGUAGCCGGCCUGAGAGGGUGGACGGCCACACUGGGACUGAGACACGGCCCAGACUCCUACGGGAGGCAGCAGUCGGGAAUCUUCCACAAUGGGCGAAAGCCUGAUGGAGCGACGCCGCGUGAGGGAUGAAGGUCUUCGGAUCGUAAACCUCUGUCCUCAGGGACGAUAAUGACGGUACCUGAGGAGGAAGCCACGGCUAACUACGUG
This 476-nucleotide ribosomal RNA is filed under the name uncultured bacterium. RNAcentral describes it as "bacterial SSU rRNA". It matches the Rfam family "Bacterial small subunit ribosomal RNA", at positions 28 to 507 of the family's 1533-position model. The record is from RNAcentral.